Long non-coding RNA from Oryza sativa Japonica Group (Japanese rice), 519 nucleotides. RefSeq lists it as uncharacterized. The record is from RefSeq and is a predicted model, not a curated record. Lineage: Eukaryota; Viridiplantae; Streptophyta; Magnoliopsida; Poales; Poaceae.
AGGCAUUUAACCUGGCAAACCCCACCCCUCUUGUCUUCUUCCCCGCACAAGGCGAGUCGACGCCGCGCUCCCCUCCUUCCCCGGCGAGAAAAAAAGGCGGCGGCAUUCUCCUCCACCCCCACGCCGCGAACCGGAGCGGUGACAUAGAGGGGGCAACGGCUAGCGGUGGCGGCCAUGGAGGCGAUCGCCCGUGAGCACGAGCGCAGCGGAGAAGGAUUGAGCUUAGCUGCGGAGAAAGGAGGAGGCGGCCAUGGAACGCGCCGAGACGAGGACUUCAGUAAAAGCAGGCAUACCAGCUUUGUUCAUCAGGUAGGAACAAUGCUCUAAUCUUUCGGUUUCAGGUUGGAAACAGGAAAUAAAAAAACACAUGACUGUUUACCUGGAAUUUUACGGCCUAUCCUCUGCUUUUACAAGUUCAAAUAGAUUUACCAAGUGUGUCACUUUCAUUUGGAACUAGUGAAAGAAUUUCAUCCUCAGAGGCAACUGGGCAAAUGCAGUGCGACAUUAUUCGGCUAGGUA